RNAcentral lists this ribosomal RNA (489 nucleotides) under uncultured bacterium. RNAcentral describes it as "bacterial SSU rRNA". It matches the Rfam family "Bacterial small subunit ribosomal RNA", at positions 28 to 526 of the family's 1533-position model. The record is from RNAcentral.
GACGAACGCUGGCGGCGCGCCUAACACAUGCAAGUCGAACGAGGUCUUUUAGAAGCUUGCUUCUGGCUGACCUAGUGGCGGACGGGUGAGUAACACGUGAGCAACCUGCCUUGAAGAGGGGGAUAACGUCUGGAAACGGACGCUAAUACCGCAUAAUAUAUUCUGGUGGCAUCAUCGGGAUAUCAAAGGAGCAAUCCGCUUUGAGAUGGGCUCGCGGCCGAUUAGGUAGUUGGUGGGGUAAUGGCCCACCAAGCCAACGAUCGGUAGCCGGACUGAGAGGUUGAUCGGCCACAUUGGGACUGAGACACGGCCCAGACUCCUACGGGAGGCAGCAGUGGGGGAUAUUGCACAAUGGGGGAAACCCUGAUGCAGCGACGCCGCGUGGGUGAAGACGGCCUUCGGGUUGUAAAGCCCUGUUGAGGGGGACGAUAAUGACGGUACCCCUUUAGAAAGCCACGGCUAACUACGUGCCAGCCGCCGCAGUAAAAC